UACGGGGAGCAGCAGUGGGGAAUAUUGGACAAUGGGGGAAACCCUGAUCCAGCAAUGCCGCGUGUGUGAAGAAGGCCUUCGGGUUGUAAAGCACUUUCGGUAGGAAAGAAAGUCUUAAAGCUAAUACCUUUGAAGAGUUGACGUUACCUACAGAAGAAGCACUGGCUAACUCUGUGCCAGCAGCCGCGGUAAUACAGAGAGUGCAAGCGUUAAUCGGAAUUAUUGGGCGUAAAGCGCGCGUAGGUGGAUUUUUAAGUCGGAUGUGAAAGCCCUGAGCUUAACUUGGGAAUUGCGUCCGAUACUGAAUUUCUUGAGUAUGGUAGAGGGAAGUGGAAUUUCCGGUGUAGCGGUGAAAUGCGUAGAUAUCGGAAGGAACACCAGUGGCGAAGGCGACUUCCUGGAUCAAUACUGACACUGAGGUGCGAAAGCGUAGGGAGCAAACAGGAUUAGAGACCCUGGUAGUCCACGCUGUCAACGAUGAGAACUAGCUGUUGGAGAGUUUACUCUUUAGUAGCGAAGCUAACGCGUUAAGUUCUCCGCCUGGGGAGUACGGCCGCAAGGUUAAAACUCAAAGAAAUUGACGGGGGCCCGCACAAGCGGUGGAGCAUGUGGUUUAAUUCGAUGCAACACGAAAAACCUUACCUACCCUUGACAUCCCCGGAACUUGUCAGAGAUGACCGGGUGCCUUCGGGAACCGGGUGACAGGUGCUGCAUGGCUGUCGUCAGCUCGUGUCGUGAGAUGUUGGGUUAAGUCCCGUAACGAGCGCAACCCUUGUCCUUAGUUGCCAGCGGUUCGGCCGGGAACUCUAAGGAGACUGCCGGUGAUAAACCGGAGGAAGGUGGGGACGAUGUCAAGUCAUCAUGGCCCUUAUGGGUAGGGCUACACACGUGCUACAAUGGGCAGUACAGAGGGUUGCCAAAUCGUGAGAUGGAGCUAAUCUCAAAAAGCUGCUCGUAGUCCGGAUUAGAGUCUGCAACUCGACUCUAUGAAGCUGGAAUCGCUAGUAAUCGCGAAUCAGAAUGUCGCGGUGAAUACGUUCUCGGGCCUUGUACACACCGCCCGUCACACCAUGGGAGUGGG
RNAcentral lists this ribosomal RNA (1081 nucleotides) under Coxiella sp. BR. Its description in RNAcentral is "bacterial SSU rRNA". It matches the Rfam family "Bacterial small subunit ribosomal RNA", at positions 340 to 1414 of the family's 1533-position model. The record is from RNAcentral. Lineage: Bacteria; Pseudomonadati; Pseudomonadota; Gammaproteobacteria; Legionellales; Coxiellaceae.